AAGGGAAAGAAAUCAGGAAUGUGCCAAGGUGGAGCGAAACUGAAGUAUGAAACUACCACAAACAUCCAUACUUCUCACCAGUAUUACAAUGAAUUUCCUCCGGAGUUGAACGUGGUUUAUGUACCCGUACACGUUGUCGUUGAAUACAUCAAACAUGUUAGAGAUUUCUACCACGAGGUAACAAGACAAUUAGUUCUAAACAAGGGAGGAAAGAAUGAUCGACUAUGUACUACUGGCAAACGUACCC
Molecule: ribosomal RNA, 247 nt
Filed under: Triticum aestivum (bread wheat)
Lineage: Eukaryota; Viridiplantae; Streptophyta; Magnoliopsida; Poales; Poaceae
Description: partial small subunit ribosomal RNA
Source: RNAcentral